AGUCUCAUGAUCUUCCGUUGCUUGAGGAGCUUCGAGUUCUUGAGGGUGGAUUACUGAUUGCCAUUGAACUUGGUACUUGUAUUCUUCAAGUUCUCACUAUUGAAUCGUUCUUACAAUUGAAUCUCACAUUGUGCGUGGGCUCAUUGGAAAUCUUACUGACAGAAAGACGAAUUGGAUGCUCUUAUCCAGCUUCCUCUCGGGCUUCUAAUUCUUUGCAUCCUCUGGAUUUUUUUUUCAAGAUUUUCAGCAUUGCCUUCCGUUUUGGCUGCCACGAGGAAUUUCGAUCUUGCAGAUUUGUUUUAUUUUUGUCUCGCAUAUAUAUUCAUCUUUAUUCGUCUUCUAGGGUUAACCCUUUUGAAUAAGAGAGAUUGUAUGUGCUCGCCGCUGGAGUUUCUGUUCAACCUUCUGCAAGUUCAUGCAAUUCUUGGUUGUUCAAUGAACGUUAAUUAUUACUGUUGAGUGAUACAACAAUUGGUAAAAAAAAACUCCUCCUUAAGUGAACAUAUGUUUGAAGGUUGUAUCAAACAUGAGAUAAAAGAAGAAAUGCAUAGCUUCGAGUUACAAGGACUGUGA
Benincasa hispida (wax gourd) is the source of this 573-nucleotide non-coding RNA. The record is from RefSeq and is a predicted model, not a curated record. Lineage: Eukaryota; Viridiplantae; Streptophyta; Magnoliopsida; Cucurbitales; Cucurbitaceae.